Molecule: ribosomal RNA, 434 nt
Filed under: uncultured bacterium
Lineage: Bacteria
Description: partial 16S ribosomal RNA
Rfam family: Bacterial small subunit ribosomal RNA
Source: RNAcentral
AGCGAACGCUGGCGGCAGGCUUAACACAUGCAAGUCGAACGGCCUUUUCCGGUGUCAGGUGGAGGCGGGGGAGGAACACGGGGGAAAGGUCCCUUUGGUUCGGAAUUACUCAGGGAAAACUUAGCUAAAACCGGAUAAGCCCCUUUGGGGAAAGGUUUACUGCCGAAGGAUCGGCCCGCGUCUGAUUAGCUUGUUGGUGGGGGAACGGCCUACCAAGGCGACGAUCAGUAGCUGGUCUGAGAGGAUGAUCAGCCACACUGGGACUGAGACACGGCCCAGACUCCUACGGGAGGCAGCAGUGGGGAAUAUUGGACAAUGGGCGCAAGCCUGAUCCAGCCAUGCCGCGUGAGUGAUGAAGGCCUUAGGGUUGUAAAGCUCUUUUGUCCGGGACGAUAAUGACGGUACCGGAAGAAUAAGCCCCGGCUAACUUCGUG